UACAGAGGUCCCAAGCGUUGUUCGGAUUCACUGGGCGUAAAGGGUGCGUAGGUGGUCGGGUAAGUUUGAUGUGAAAUCUCCGGGCUUAACCCGGAAACUGCAUUGAAUACUAUUCGGCUGGAGGGUUGGAGGGGGGACUGGAAUUCUCGGUGUAGCAGUGAAAUGCGUAGAUAUCGAGAGGAACACCAGUGGCGAAGGCGAGUCCCUGGACAACUCCUGACACUAAGGCACGAAAGCUAGGGGAGCAAACGGG
Molecule: ribosomal RNA, 253 nt
Filed under: uncultured bacterium
Lineage: Bacteria
Description: partial 16S ribosomal RNA
Rfam family: Bacterial small subunit ribosomal RNA
Source: RNAcentral